RNAcentral lists this ribosomal RNA (396 nucleotides) under uncultured bacterium. RNAcentral's name for it is "partial 16S ribosomal RNA". It matches the Rfam family "Bacterial small subunit ribosomal RNA", at positions 523 to 918 of the family's 1533-position model. The record is from RNAcentral.
AUACGUAGGGGGCAAGCGUUAUCCGGAUUUACUGGGUGUAAAGGGAGCGUAGACGGAAGGCCAAGUCUGAUGUGAAAGCCCGCGGCUCAACUGCGGGACUGCAUUGGAAACUGGUCAUCUGGAGUGCAGGAGGGGUAAGCGGAAUUCCUAGUGUAGCGGUGAAAUGCGUAGAGAUCGGGAGGAACACCAGCGGCGAAGGCGGGUAACUGGACUGCAACUGACGCUGAGGCGCGAAAGUGUGGGGAGCAAACAGGAUUAGAUACCCUGGUAGUCCACACUGUAAACGAUGAAUGCUAGGUGUGGGGGGACUGACCCCCUCCGUGCCGCAGUUAACACAGUAAGUAUUCCACCUGGGGAGUACGAUCGCAAGAUUGAAACUCAAAUGAAUUGACGGGG